This 1412-nucleotide ribosomal RNA is filed under the name uncultured bacterium. RNAcentral's name for it is "bacterial SSU rRNA". It matches the Rfam family "Bacterial small subunit ribosomal RNA". The record is from RNAcentral.
GGAUGAACGCUGGCGGUAUGCUUAACACAUGCAAGUCGAACGGGCUCUUCGGAGCUAGUGGCAGACGGGUGAGUAACGCGUGAGAAUCUGCCUUCAGGUUGGGGACAACAGUUAGAAAUGACUGCUAAUACCCAAUGUGCCGUAGGGUGAAAGAUUUAUCGCCUGAAGAGGAGCUCGCGUCUGAUUAGCUAGUUGGUGGGGUAAAAGCCUACCAAGGCGUCGAUCAGUAGCUGGUCUGAGAGGAUGAGCAGCCACACUGGAACUGAGACACGGUCCAGACUCCUACGGGAGGCAGCAGUGGGGAAUUUUCCGCAAUGGGCGAAAGCCUGACGGAGCAAUACCGCGUGAGGGAGGAAGGCUCUUGGGUUGUAAACCUCUUUUCUCAGGGAAGAAUAACUGACGGUACCUGAGGAAUAAGCAUCGGCUAACUCCGUGCCAGCAGCCGCGGUAAUACGGAGGAUGCAAGCGUUAUCCGGAAUCAUUGGGCGUAAAGCGUCCGCAGGUGGCCCUAUAAGUCUGCUGUCAAAGACCGGAGCUUAACUCUGGAAAGGCGGUGGAAACUGUAGAGCUAGAGUACGGUAGGGGUAGAGGGAAUUCCCAGUGUAGCGGUGAAAUGCGUAGAGAUUGGGAAGAACACCGGUGGCGAAAGCGCUCUACUGGGCCGUAACUGACACUCAGGGACGAAAGCUAGGGUAGCGAAAGGGAUUAGAUACCCCCUGUAGUCUUAGCUGUAAACGAUGGAUACUAGGCGUAGCUUGUAUCGACCCGAGCUGUGCCGAAGCAAACGCGUUAAGUAUCCCGCCUGGGGAGUACGCACGCAAGUGUGAAACUCAAAGGAAUUGACGGGGGCCCGCACAAGCGGUGGAGUAUGUGGUUUAAUUCGAUGCAACGCGAAGAACCUUACCAGGACUUGACAUGUCGCGAAUUCUGGGGAAACUCGGAAGUGCCUUCGGGAGCGCGAACACAGGUGGUGCAUGGCUGUCGUCAGCUCGUGUCGUGAGAUGUUGGGUUAAGUCCCGCAACGAGCGCAACCCUCGUCCUUAGUUGCCAGCAUUAAGUUGGGCACUCUGGGGAGACUGCCGGUGACAAACCGGAGGAAGGUGGGGAUGACGUCAAGUCAGCAUGCCCCUUACGUUCUGGGCUACACACGUACUACAAUGGUUGAGACAAAGGGCAGCGAGCGAGCGAUCGUAAGCGAAUCUCAUCAAACUCAGCCUCAGUUCAGAUUGCAGGCUGCAACUCGCCUGCAUGAAGGAGGAAUCGCUAGUAAUCGCAGGUCAGAAUACUGCGGUGAAUCCGUUCCCGGGCCUUGUACACACCGCCCGUCACACCAUGGAAGCUGGCCACGCCCGAAGUCGUUACCCUAACCCUUAGGGGAGGGGGAUGCCGAAGGCAGGGCUAGUGACUGGGGU